This 2930-nucleotide ribosomal RNA is filed under the name Escherichia coli. Its description in RNAcentral is "bacterial LSU rRNA". It matches the Rfam family "Bacterial large subunit ribosomal RNA". The record is from RNAcentral. Lineage: Bacteria; Pseudomonadati; Pseudomonadota; Gammaproteobacteria; Enterobacterales; Enterobacteriaceae.
GGGUUGUGAGGUUAAGCGACUAAGCGUACACGGUGGAUGCCCUGGCAGUCAGAGGCGAUGAAGGACGUGCUAAUCUGCGAUAAGCGUCGGUAAGGUGAUAUGAACCGUUAUAACCGGCGAUUUCCGAAUGGGGAAACCCAGUGUGAUUCGUCACACUAUCAUUAACUGAAUCCAUAGGUUAAUGAGGCGAACCGGGGGAACUGAAACAUCUAAGUACCCCGAGGAAAAGAAAUCAACCGAGAUUCCCCCAGUAGCGGCGAGCGAACGGGGAGGAGCCCAGAGCCUGAAUCAGUGUGUGUGUUAGUGGAAGCGUCUGGAAAGGCGCGCGAUACAGGGUGACAGCCCCGUACACAAAAAUGCACAUGCUGUGAGCUCGAUGAGUAGGGCGGGACACGUGGUAUCCUGUCUGAAUAUGGGGGGACCAUCCUCCAAGGCUAAAUACUCCUGACUGACCGAUAGUGAACCAGUACCGUGAGGGAAAGGCGAAAAGAACCCCGGCGAGGGGAGUGAAAAAGAACCUGAAACCGUGUACGUACAAGCAGUGGGAGCACGCUUAGGCGUGUGACUGCGUACCUUUUGUAUAAUGGGUCAGCGACUUAUAUUCUGUAGCAAGGUUAACCGAAUAGGGGAGCCGAAGGGAAACCGAGUCUUAACUGGGCGUUAAGUUGCAGGGUAUAGACCCGAAACCCGGUGAUCUAGCCAUGGGCAGGUUGAAGGUUGGGUAACACUAACUGGAGGACCGAACCGACUAAUGUUGAAAAAUUAGCGGAUGACUUGUGGCUGGGGGUGAAAGGCCAAUCAAACCGGGAGAUAGCUGGUUCUCCCCGAAAGCUAUUUAGGUAGCGCCUCGUGAAUUCAUCUCCGGGGGUAGAGCACUGUUUCGGCAAGGGGGUCAUCCCGACUUACCAACCCGAUGCAAACUGCGAAUACCGGAGAAUGUUAUCACGGGAGACACACGGCGGGUGCUAACGUCCGUCGUGAAGAGGGAAACAACCCAGACCGCCAGCUAAGGUCCCAAAGUCAUGGUUAAGUGGGAAACGAUGUGGGAAGGCCCAGACAGCCAGGAUGUUGGCUUAGAAGCAGCCAUCAUUUAAAGAAAGCGUAAUAGCUCACUGGUCGAGUCGGCCUGCGCGGAAGAUGUAACGGGGCUAAACCAUGCACCGAAGCUGCGGCAGCGACACUGUGUGUUGUUGGGUAGGGGAGCGUUCUGUAAGCCUGCGAAGGUGUGCUGUGAGGCAUGCUGGAGGUAUCAGAAGUGCGAAUGCUGACAUAAGUAACGAUAAAGCGGGUGAAAAGCCCGCUCGCCGGAAGACCAAGGGUUCCUGUCCAACGUUAAUCGGGGCAGGGUGAGUCGACCCCUAAGGCGAGGCCGAAAGGCGUAGUCGAUGGGAAACAGGUUAAUAUUCCUGUACUUGGUGUUACUGCGAAGGGGGGACGGAGAAGGCUAUGUUGGCCGGGCGACGGUUGUCCCGGUUUAAGCGUGUAGGCUGGUUUUCCAGGCAAAUCCGGAAAAUCAAGGCUGAGGCGUGAUGACGAGGCACUACGGUGCUGAAGCAACAAAUGCCCUGCUUCCAGGAAAAGCCUCUAAGCAUCAGGUAACAUCAAAUCGUACCCCAAACCGACACAGGUGGUCAGGUAGAGAAUACCAAGGCGCUUGAGAGAACUCGGGUGAAGGAACUAGGCAAAAUGGUGCCGUAACUUCGGGAGAAGGCACGCUGAUACGUAGGUGAAGUCCCUCGCGGAUGGAGCUGAAAUCAGUCGAAGAUACCAGCUGGCUGCAACUGUUUAUUAAAAACACAGCACUGUGCAAACACGAAAGUGGACGUAUACGGUGUGACGCCUGCCCGGUGCCGGAAGGUUAAUUGAUGGGGUCAGCGCAAGCGAAGCUCUUGAUCGAAGCCCCGGUAAACGGCGGCCGUAACUAUAACGGUCCUAAGGUAGCGAAAUUCCUUGUCGGGUAAGUUCCGACCUGCACGAAUGGCGUAAUGAUGGCCAGGCUGUCUCCACCCGAGACUCAGUGAAAUUGAACUCGCUGUGAAGAUGCAGUGUACCCGCGGCAAGACGGAAAGACCCCGUGAACCUUUACUAUAGCUUGACACUGAACAUUGAGCCUUGAUGUGUAGGAUAGGUGGGAGGCUUUGAAGUGUGGACGCCAGUCUGCAUGGAGCCGACCUUGAAAUACCACCCUUUAAUGUUUGAUGUUCUAACGUUGACCCGUAAUCCGGGUUGCGGACAGUGUCUGGUGGGUAGUUUGACUGGGGCGGUCUCCUCCUAAAGAGUAACGGAGGAGCACGAAGGUUGGCUAAUCCUGGUCGGACAUCAGGAGGUUAGUGCAAUGGCAUAAGCCAGCUUGACUGCGAGCGUGACGGCGCGAGCAGGUGCGAAAGCAGGUCAUAGUGAUCCGGUGGUUCUGAAUGGAAGGGCCAUCGCUCAACGGAUAAAAGGUACUCCGGGGAUAACAGGCUGAUACCGCCCAAGAGUUCAUAUCGACGGCGGUGUUUGGCACCUCGAUGUCGGCUCAUCACAUCCUGGGGCUGAAGUAGGUCCCAAGGGUAUGGCUGUUCGCCAUUUAAAGUGGUACGCGAGCUGGGUUUAGAACGUCGUGAGACAGUUCGGUCCCUAUCUGCCGUGGGCGCUGGAGAAUUGAGGGGGGCUGCUCCUAGUACGAGAGGACCGGAGUGGACGCAUCACUGGUGUUCGGGUUGUCAUGCCAAUGGCACUGCCCGGUAGCUAAAUGCGGAAGAGAUAAGUGCUGAAAGCAUCUAAGCACGAAACUUGCCCCGAGAUGAGUUCUCCCUGACUCCUUGAGAGUCCUGAAGGAACGUUGAAGACGACGACGUUGAUAGGCCGGAUGUGUAAGCGCAGCGAUGCGUUGAGCUAACCGGUACUAAUGAACCGUGAGGCUUAACCUUACAACGCCGAAGGUGUUU